RNAcentral lists this transfer RNA (82 nucleotides) under Bacteroidota bacterium. RNAcentral describes it as "Bacteroidetes bacterium tRNA-Leu". It matches the Rfam family "tRNA". Rfam says of the family: Transfer RNA (tRNA) molecules are approximately 80 nucleotides in length. The record is from RNAcentral. Lineage: Bacteria; Pseudomonadati; Bacteroidota. RNAcentral also lists the same sequence under 1 other name.
GCGCAUGUGGCGUAAUUGGCAGCCGCGCCAGACUUAGGAUCUGGUGCCGAAAGGCGUGUGGGUUCGAGUCCCUCCAUGCGCA